Molecule: long non-coding RNA, 5367 nt
Organism: Tympanuchus pallidicinctus (lesser prairie-chicken)
Lineage: Eukaryota; Metazoa; Chordata; Aves; Galliformes; Phasianidae
Exons: 4
Source: RefSeq, a predicted model, not a curated record
AUAAACCUUGAAACUUAAUUCCUAAGUGUUAAUGGUCAAUUGACUAUAGAUGAAGUAGCACAGCAAAGUAGACUCUUUUUACUGAUUUAUCUGUAAGGAUAACUAGUGUACUUUUUUUUCCUCUUCCUUUCUUGCUCUGCUGCUGAACUUUUAGAUGCUCCCAGAAAGUUAUUAGCAAAAACUCUGAAGUCAGUGUCAUGGCUGCAUGAUGCAAAGGUGGGUGCAUGGGUGAAGUGUGUCCAAAGUGCCCUGAAGAAAUUCCUCCCAACAUCAGUUUGCCAACACUGAAUCUGCUAAGUACCAUUUUUCCUCUUGGAGUCCACUCAGAAUUUCUCAGACCACCUACACUGGAACUUCUUUUUGCCUUAGAUGAAAGAUAUUCCAAUUACAUUUUGCAUUGCUUUAAAGCUGCUUGAGUUCCAAAGAAUUACUAAAUUUUGAUCUACAUCUACUUCCACAAGACUAUGAAAAUAAGCAUGAAUGAGAACAUGACUUGGCAAUUCUUACAGGCCAUGAAAUUUCAGCACCUUACUUUCUGAGCAUCUGCCUUGGUAAUAAUGGAAACAUUUUGUUUUGCAGCAUCAUAGCUCUUCUAGUGUUCCACUUUUUCUUUUCAUGACUUUAUGGGAAAUUACAUUAGUUUUAGAAGCACGCUUGUACUGUGUGUACUCUACCUCUGUCCCUCCACUUCAUAAAUCAUCUCUUAAUUUUUAUCAAGGACGAUGUCAGUUCAUUCCUUACCUUCACUCCCUGGCCAAGACUCUCAAGUGAAUUAAUAUCCAGACCUUCCUUGCAGGCCUGCAAACAGGAAAUCACUUUCUGACUCUCAAUUUUUCCAGGACGGAUAGUAAGACUGGCUAGGCUGCCGUGGAAAUACUGAGCAAAUCUAGGCUUGGUGACUUCACCUCCUGCAAGAAAGAAAAUAUAAAAUGAUUAUUGUUAUCGAUAUAGAAAACAUAAAUCAAAUAAUUCACGUUUUUUGGGGGCUGAAAAUCAAGUUUCGCCAAUUAUUUCUGAAGUUCCAUUUAUUGCGCUAAGUAGAAUUGCUUUGCAGGUUGUUGGAUGGUACUAGCAACCUGUCUUUAAGAUUCUUGUCAGUGUUCUUCUAGUACUGUAUUCAGGUGCUUACAAAGCUGUGAUAACAUACUUUGAGACAAAAAAUGAUUUCCCAAAUCUGUGCCCAAUGAAGCAGAGCAUUUUCAAAAAUGAAUUGAGAUUAUUGGAGUGAUCAAACGUGAAUUUCACAACAUUUUUGAGGCCUUACUUAUUUAUGCAGAAACUGUACCUGCAAGUUCUCUACUACAAGUUCUCUUACACAGCCUUUAUCUUUUUCCUCCGAAACCAGCUUUGACAGACCAAGAUAUGCUCUGUGUAAACAGUGCCUAGGUCUCUAGGAAUACAGUAUAAAUUCAGAGCACUGACUGCACACUAAUGUACAGCACUACGCUAAAAGGCUUACAGUAUCUUAGCCAAGCCAGCUCAUUUGGUGCUAGAUGAGGUCCCAUCACAGUACAUUGCAUUAGGCCCUCUAGCUAUGCUCUAUUCAGCUUCACUCUAUGCAACUUCAAAGGAAGACUGAUCUUUAGGAGUUGUCAAUAAAAUGUGAUUAUAUACUGCCUGCAACAGUGAUGAUAGCAUCUAAAUUACUCUUGGGAUAUUUAAUGAUUUACUCAUUCUCCUCUAAGAUAGUUUUUACAGCCUGCUUUUCCUGCAAGCAUUAGCUGAAUUGGUGCUUGUGAAUUGCUGCCUACCUUGAGCCUGAGAGGGACCAAGAAAGCCACGCAGUAGUGAAGCCGUGCAGACUAAUUGCAUUAGCAGUGGAUAAGCUGCUGUAAUUGUUAGAUAACUCAUCUUCACAGCGUUUGUAGCUUUAGUUCCCAGUAACCUAUUUCUGCCUGGCAACAUACCUCAGGCUUGAACUUUAACUUGAAGAUUUGUGUGUGGAACAGUAUUAGGAAUAGGGGAUAAAAUGGCAACUUUAGUUGAGGCUGAUGUUACUGCCUGAAAGCCAUCUCUUUUAAUCUGUGCAGUAAAAGCACAACUUUUUCCUUAUGUAGUAAGGAAAAUAUACACUGUUGUGCUGAGAGUGAAGAAGGUGUCUAGGCAUGCUUUUUCUUCACAGAAGCAGACAUUUCUGUUCUUUUAUGUUAAGCCUACAGUACAAACUGCUGCUCUUUCUACUUCAAAGAAAGACCCUCAGAGAGAAAUUAUGUUUUUUCCCUUCUUUCAUUUGUCUGUCAGUUAUACAGAAAACUUCUUCUGGGCCAAAUUUUUUAGAGGUUUCAUGGAACCUUUCACAUCAGUUUGUUCUGUAAUGUAGGCCUUAUCAAGACAAUUGGUAAAUAGCUAGUACCCUACAGGGAUGCCAGUUCUUCCCAAAAAUGUCAUUACAUUUAUGUAUUUGAGUUGUCUUUAAAAGCAUAUAUUUCCACUAAUAAUAUAACAACAAUGUACCUGAUGAUGACAAAAACAGGUGAAACCUUACAGGAGAAAGGAAUCAUUGCAUUUGAAGCUUCUCAUAUCCUUAACAUAGUUCUGAAGACAGCAAGCUCUAAGGUUAAAACCUUAGGUUUUGAAAUUUAGAAACAUACAGUAAAAGUGUGCCAGCAGGUCGUAACAGUUCUGAUGAGAUGCAAAAUGAGAAGCAAUCUCAGAUAAGCUAAUGUAUUUAAAUAUGAAACUAGUUCCUUAAAAUGUAUGAAGGGAUAGACAAGAAGCUAAAAGAAUUUGGUGCUAUAGCUAUCUCUGGCAGUACAAGCAAUAUAAACCAGCUGAAGUGAUCCUACAGAACUGCAUGACUGCUGCUUACAUCCAUGCACAGCAAUUUCAGGUAAAUUUCAGGUAAUAAACUCAUUUAUAAUUUUUUUUUCAAUUGUUAUUUCAUUUCAGACUAAUUCUUCUCAGAUGCCAUCAACAAAAAAGACUUAUUUUUGGUUUGAAUGUGGUGGGUACAUGGCUGGUGUGUACAGCCAGUUAGUUUCCUCCAGCAAGAAUCCAGCUCAUGUGCUCAGACACUGGUCCAUGUGGACAACAGCAGAGGACUGGGGAUGAUCAGGGGAUUGUUAAAAGCGUGCUCCUGAUCCAAAACGACUCACUAAUGUGGGUGUGCAAACACAGCAGCUCUGUAAGUGGUUACCUUCAGCCUGUGAGUGAAAAAUAGCUGGGAAUAGCUACUGUCCUGUUGUAUCAGUAGAGAAAAUAUACAAAACUAUGCCCACAGUUACAGCAAGAUGGUUCAUACUAGGACAGUUGCAAUGUAACAGCUGAUAGCAGGAUCUGAACAGACACUGGGGGAUGACCUUGUCUGUCCACUAGCCCCAAGACAAGAUCACCUGUGCCCCAUUGUAGUACAUAUACAAUAUAUAUGUACCUGUACCAUUCUAGAGAAUUGCCAGAGAUGUUCUAAACUCUUCUGAAGACAAAGGUUCCUGAAGCAGUCUACUCCAUUACUUACUGAUCUUUAUAGUGUUGAAAGCUUAUUCAUAAAGAGAAUGUUAUCUGUCAAAAUAUUACCAUACUUUUUCCUCUGGCAGUCUAACCAAGAUCUUCCCUUUAACUGUUUCCAUCUAGAACUGUAGACUCUGAUCAUCCCUCUUGCUCUUCCUGGAAGUGCUGCUAUUAUUUACUGAUCACAGCUUACAGGUCUUCUGAAUGUUACGUGUGUCUUACAAAGGCCAUCCCUGUUAAUUCAGGAUAGCAUGAAAAACUAGCCUUUUGCACAGGACUAAACACGAGCAAUUGUAUAUGCACACUUACAGAACAAAUACUCUUACACGUAAUUAGAAAGAAUAUGCUGCCAGAUAAGCGUUUCAUAAGCACCUUUUGCCAGAGCCAAAGACAUAUGAUAUACCUGCUAAUUUUAUCCACUAAGGUGAAUAGAUGUCAUUACAUCCGACUCUUAUCACAUCACUUGUAAUUGCACUGUGUUGACGUUUUCAUAUUCUUCUACAUCAGCAUUUCAGAAUCUUCCCAGCUUAACAGGGUAAGUUAACUUGAUGUGUUUCGGUAGUCAGCCAAUUAUCAGUCCCAUACAGCUCAAACAAAUAGAACUCAACUCCAGAAAGGUGGUACAGUAGCAUUAAGACCUUCCUAAUAAAUAAAUAAACCGUAACUUCUCAAUUGCCUAGCAUCAUGUGUUUCACUCAGCUGUUUACUGAUUAUUAUUAAUAUGCUGCAAACAUUAUUUCUUGGGGGAUACUUCAGAAGUGAGCAACAAGGGAAAUGCCAACUGUCCUUACUGUCAGUCAGGGGGUUAAGGUCGAUGUCUGCAACACACAAAAGGCUGAAAAAACCUUUUAGAACAAUGCCACUUACUUAUCCUCAUUACAGACCCUGUAUUACAAAUCUCAGCUGCUACUUUUAUCACGCAUUCUUGACACCAAAACAGAAGAAGUGUCCUUCUAUGAUUUGCUGAUCACCCACUGGUUAAAACCAUUGUAACAGGCAAUUGUUCCAAGACAGAAAUAGUUAAGACAUAAUAUAGACACAUGGCUUAGAACAGACUGCCAGAAGAAACCAAGAGCUGCUUCUGGAAUUGUCUAAACAACUGUUAACUGCCUGGGGCACUUCCUAUCUUAAUGUAACAACAGUAUCCCCAAAACCCUCACCCAAUUCUAACUACUAUCAGAAAAAAAGGAAAAAUAGAAAUCUUGCUUGUAGUUUGCAAUACCUUUUCAUACAACACUGCAUAAGAAUUGGUGUAUUACUGUUGCAACUGCAAAAUGGUUUUAGUUUUUUCAGUCACAGUUAUCUGCCUGCAGAUACCACAAUGCAUACUGCCUAUACAACCUGUUCAGGAAGGCAUUUCAAAUGCAUCAAGUUAAGUUUGGUUGUGCAAUUUUUAAUCUUAGGUCACAUGUACUGUAUAUUAAAUGAAGUAAUAUAAAUAGUUUAGCCUAAAGAUGGUUUAACUCCUACUCCUAAAUAAACUCCUUCACAUUAAAUGUGAACUACAUUAAAAACCAAGAGAUAUUUGCUAGAAUAUUAUGAUAGGACUCUAAAUUAAGGCAGGAGCUCUGCGUAGACCUUCCCUGUAAUGAACUCCUUGAAAAAAGAGCAAAGGCUUUGAAAUUAUAUUAAAAAGAAAGAUUCUACUAUAAGAAAAUCCAGCAUACAUUAUUUUAGGUAGAGGAAAAUUAAUACUGAUUAUGUCCAAACAAAAAGUAAAAAAACAUUUCUACAACUUUUCUCAUGCCAGAUGUGCUGUUAAAGCUGGAAACUAGCCACCAUGCUUGCUUUUAGUAACUUUCAUUAUUGAAGUAUCAAGACAAGUGAAAUUCCAUUUUGAAUUCAGAAUACUACUUUCUACUGCCAUAUUACCUUGCCAGCAAGCACCGACUGUCAGCUGCAUGGCUAUGUGUGAAGGGU